CCGGGCUCCCCAGAAUUGGACCUCUGCUGUGGGCCAAUGGCUUCCCAUCAAGCAUCUCAAAAAUCUGUUCUUUUCCCCCAAAACUGGAUUUCAAGAUUUUCCGUCACUUAAUUCAAGUAUCCCCAUGAUCUUCCACAGCCUGCCAGUGAGGUGCUGUUUAAUGAUAGAAGGUCAGCCCCAUGACAGCAAGGACCUUAACUGCAUCUUCCUGCCUACAGAGGGCCUGGCACAUAGCGGGUGCUCAAUAAAUAUUCAUUUCAUGAAAAUAGCA
Molecule: long non-coding RNA, 271 nt
Organism: Myotis brandtii (Brandt's bat)
Lineage: Eukaryota; Metazoa; Chordata; Mammalia; Chiroptera; Vespertilionidae
Exons: 2
Source: RefSeq, a predicted model, not a curated record